RNAcentral lists this ribosomal RNA (431 nucleotides) under uncultured Alphaproteobacteria bacterium. Its description in RNAcentral is "bacterial SSU rRNA". It matches the Rfam family "Bacterial small subunit ribosomal RNA", at positions 29 to 505 of the family's 1533-position model. Lineage: Bacteria; Pseudomonadati; Pseudomonadota; Alphaproteobacteria. The record is from RNAcentral.
AACGAACGCUGGCGGCAGGCCUAACACAUGCAAGUCGAGCGAAGUCUUCGGACUUAGCGGCGGACGGGUGAGUAACGCGUGGGAACAUGCCCUUGGGUACGGAACAACAGCUGGAAACGGCUGCUAAUACCGUAUGAUGUCUACGGACCAAAGAUUUAUCGCCCAGGGAUUGGCCCGCGUUGGAUUAGGUAGUUGGUGGGGUAAAGGCCUACCAAGCCGACGAUCCAUAGCUGGUUUGAGAGGAUGAUCAGCCACACUGGGACUGAGACACGGCCCAGACUCCUACGGGAGGCAGCAGUGGGGAAUCUUAGACAAUGGGCGCAAGCCUGAUCUAGCCAUGCCGCGUGAGCGAUGACGGCCUUAGGGUUGUAAAGCUCUUUCGACGGGGACGAUAAUGACGGUACCCGUAGAAGAAGCCCCGGCUAACUUCG